Long non-coding RNA from Magallana angulata, 734 nucleotides. RefSeq lists it as uncharacterized. Lineage: Eukaryota; Metazoa; Mollusca; Bivalvia; Ostreida; Ostreidae. The transcript has 3 exons. The record is from RefSeq and is a predicted model, not a curated record.
AUCGGAAAAUUGCUUAUCCGAACCAAUCAGACAACUUGUUUAUAUAAUAUCACCAUGGAGAUAUUUUUCUUGUAUAAAUUAAUGAGAUCUACAGUGUUAAAUCAGUUGCAUCAUAGUUGCGGAAGAAGUAACACCGUAGAGUUUCAAAGAAGUUCAUAUUGUGUUUCCGUUGGAUUUGGAUAAUAUAUCUGUAUAAGACAACAUCAUGCCUGUUUCUCAGUUUACCUGUGAAGAUUGUGGCAAAAGCUUCACACGUCAAUCGAAUUUACAUCGACAUCGAAGAACUACCCACCAUGUAGACACUUUCAGCUGUUCUACCUGUGGGAGGCGUUUCAACAGAAGGGAUAAUUAUCUACGCCAUACAAGGAAUCAUAUUAGAAUUCCAGAUCAAGGAUCUCCACCGAUAGUUGGUUCUGAACUAUUAACCGACUCACAAAUCCAAGAAAGCAUCCAAAAAGAAAAUGUGUGCCCCAACUUUCAAAAUCAAGUGGGGAGUGGCAUACCACCAAAUGACCCUCAAGGUUCUCAAUUUGGUGAUACAAGAAAUGAUAGAGAAGACUGCAUCACUUCAGAAGAAGCUAUUCAUGGGAACCUGAAAAAGAUAUCCAUAUCGGCUGACGAUCAAACCAAAUAUGACCCUUUGACAUUUCUCAAAUCGAAAGAAGAGAAAGUGAGAUCUGUCCUGCAGAACGAACGCACCAAACGAAAAAGAAUGAAGUUUUACCUCACCUUAC